Molecule: ribosomal RNA, 468 nt
Filed under: uncultured bacterium
Lineage: Bacteria
Description: partial 16S ribosomal RNA
Rfam family: Bacterial small subunit ribosomal RNA
Source: RNAcentral
GACGAACGCUGGCGGCGUGCUUAACACAUGCAAGUCGAACGGAAAGGCCCUGCUUUUGUGAGGUGCUCGAGUGGCGAACGGGUGAGUAACACGUGAGUAACCUGCCCUUGACUUUGGGAUAACUUCAGGAAACUGGGGCUAAUACCGGAUAGGAGCUCCUGCUGCAUGGUGGGGGUUGGAAAGUUUCGGCGGUUGGGGAUGGACGCGCGGCUUAUCAGCUUGUUGGUGGGGUAGUGGCUUACCAAGGCUUUGAUGGGUAGCCGGCCUGAGGGGGUGACCGGCCACAUGGGGACUGAGAUACGCCCAAGACUCCUACGGGGGGCAGCGGUGGGGAAUAUUGCACAAUGGGCGGAAGCCUGAUGCAGCAACGCCGCGUGCGGGAUGACGGCCUUCGGGUUGUAAACCGCUUUCGCCUGUGACGAAGCGUUAGUGACGGUAAUGGGUAAAGAAGCACCGGCUAACUACGUG